Molecule: ribosomal RNA, 304 nt
Filed under: uncultured Enterobacteriaceae bacterium
Lineage: Bacteria; Pseudomonadati; Pseudomonadota; Gammaproteobacteria; Enterobacterales; Enterobacteriaceae
Description: bacterial SSU rRNA
Rfam family: Bacterial small subunit ribosomal RNA
Source: RNAcentral
UGGUUAGUCCGCAACGAGCGCAACCCUUAUCCUUGUUGCCAGCGGUCCGGCCGGGAAACGUCAAAGGAGACUGCCAGUGAUAAACUGGAGGAAGGUGGGGAUGACGUCAAGUCAUCAUGGCCCUUACGAGUAGGGCUACACACGUGCUACAAUGGCGCAUACAAAGAGAAGCGAACUCGCGAGAGCAAGCGGACCUCAUAAAGUGCGUCGUAGUCCGGAUUGGAGUCUGCAACUCGACUCCAUGAAGUCGGAAUCGCUAGUAAUCGUAGAUCAGAAUGCUACGGUGAAUACGUUCCCGGGCCUU